This 567-nucleotide long non-coding RNA is filed under the name Homo sapiens (human). RNAcentral's name for it is "HSALNT0064290". Lineage: Eukaryota; Metazoa; Chordata; Mammalia; Primates; Hominidae. The record is from RNAcentral.
UUCACAUUGUCACUUCUUUUUACCUCUUACCCAUUUUCCCUUCUUAUCCUCACACCUUUUCUCUUCAAUCUAGAGCCCAUUAGCCAUUAUUUUAAUAAGCUCUUACACUUAAUAAUCAACUUUCACCUUGUGCUCACCUUGUAAAACAUGUACUCUAAAUUUCAUUCUUUCCCACUUAUUAAUACUUCAUUUUAUGUAUCUUUAAUAUUUCCCUAUUCCUUGGAUUAUUCCUAUCAUCCUUUAACAUGCCCAGGUGUUUCUCAUCAAACAAAGUCACCUCUUGGUAUCCCACUUUUUCCUUUAGCUAUUGCUCUAUCUAUUUCUCUUUACAAUCUGUUCUUGUGGGAGAGUUAUCUACUUUGCUAACCAAGCCCUCCACAGUUCUUGCUUCCCCAUUCACUCCUCAAUUUACUCUAAUCUGACUUAAUCCCCCUUCCCACUACUUACCUCCUUUGUCCUUAGUGUAUCAGUGAAACAGCUCCAGACAAGAUCACCAAUGUACUCAGUUGCUCAUUAAAAUAGAUAUUUUACUCAUUCUUGAUUCAAUUUUUUUUUUUUGAGACAGAA